RNAcentral lists this unclassified non-coding RNA (245 nucleotides) under Coniothyrium sp. RNAcentral describes it as "partial contains 5.8S ribosomal RNA, internal transcribed spacer 2, and large subunit ribosomal RNA". Lineage: Eukaryota; Fungi; Ascomycota; Dothideomycetes; Pleosporales; Coniothyriaceae. The record is from RNAcentral.
CGCACAUUGCGCCCCUUGGUAUUCCAUGGGGCAUGCCUGUUCGAGCGUCAUCUUAACCCUCAAGCAUUGCUUGGUGUUGGGCGUCUGUCCCGCCUUCGCGCGUGGACUCGCCCCAAAGGCAUUGGCAGUGGUCUCCGGUACCUCAACGCGCAGUACAUAGCGCAUCUUGGGACGCCGCGGGUCGCGACCAUAAAGCUACUUUCAAGUUUGACCUCGGAUCAGGUAGGGAUACCCGCUGAACUUAA